RNAcentral lists this small RNA (132 nucleotides) under Escherichia coli. RNAcentral's name for it is "RtT sRNA". It matches the Rfam family "RtT RNA". From Rfam's summary of the family: This family represents a bacterial cis-regulatory element known as RtT RNA. The exact function of RtT is unknown although it is thought that it may be involved in changing the cellular response in relation to amino acid starvation. Lineage: Bacteria; Pseudomonadati; Pseudomonadota; Gammaproteobacteria; Enterobacterales; Enterobacteriaceae. The record is from RNAcentral.
AUUCUGCCCAUGCGGGGAAAGAUGAGAAGCUUCGACCAAGGUUCGACUCGAGCGCCAGCGAGAGAGCGUUGCCGCAGGCAACGACCCGUAGGGCGAAGCGCGCAGCGCUGAGUAAUCCUUCCCCCACCACCA